This 201-nucleotide long non-coding RNA is filed under the name Lathyrus oleraceus (garden pea). RNAcentral describes it as "Pisum sativum (pea) long non-coding RNA (PSAT_LNC007455)". The record is from RNAcentral. Lineage: Eukaryota; Viridiplantae; Streptophyta; Magnoliopsida; Fabales; Fabaceae.
AACAACCAAACAGUCAACAACAAUGCUACAACCAAUGUGCACACAAGGCAAGUCCUAAAAGGAAAUCAAUCAAGUGAGUUCACCACCAAAGGACCUAUAACACAACAAAGGUUAGUUAAACAAAGUAAAUUGCAUCUCAAGCAAGGAGAUCACAUCAUCCAUUAGAACUAAUUGCUUGAACCUGAAAUGCAAAGCUUAAAA